CAUUAUCGAGAGGGGCGUCAGCCUCGGGGGGUUUCGGCCCCCAACUCUUUACCCUGUGGCUACACGGUCCGUGUUGCUUUGGCGGUUAAAUCGCCGCCAGAAACCCUCCAAAACUCUGAUAUCAUGUGUGGUCCGAGUCAUAUUCAAUAACUAAAACUUUCAACAACGGAUCUCUUGGUUCUGGCAUCGAUGAAGAACGCAGCGAAAUGCGAUAAGUAAUGUGAAUUGCAGAAUUCAGUGAAUCAUCGAAUCUUUGAACGCACAUUGCGCCCCUUGGUAUUCCGAGGGGCAUACCUGUUCGAGCGUCAUUACACCCCUCAAGCGUGGCUUGGUGUUGGGCUCGCGUCCCCCCGGGAUGGGCCUGAAGAGCAGUGGCGGUCCGACGUAGACUUCAAGCGCAGUAAAUACGUUCGCUUGGAAGGCUCGCUGGGCUCUCGCCAGACAAACCCAUCAUUCAAUCCGUUUGACCU
RNAcentral lists this ribosomal RNA (470 nucleotides) under Lobaria pulmonaria (tree lungwort). RNAcentral describes it as "eukaryotic LSU rRNA". The stretch from base 155 to 308 matches the Rfam family "5.8S ribosomal RNA". Lineage: Eukaryota; Fungi; Ascomycota; Lecanoromycetes; Peltigerales; Lobariaceae. The record is from RNAcentral.